UACAGAGGGGGCAAGCGUUGUUCGGAAUUACUGGGCGUAAAGGGCGCGUAGGCGGCCUGUUAAGUCGAACGUGAAAUCCCCGGGCUCAACCCGGGAACUGCGUCCGAUACUGGCAGGCUUGAAUUCGGGAGAGGGAUGUGGAAUUCCAGGUGUAGCGGUGAAAUGCGUAGAUAUCUGGAGGAACACCGGUGGCGAAGGCGGCAUCCUGGACCGAUAUUGACGCUGAUGCGCGGAAGCCAGGGGAGCAAACGGG
This 253-nucleotide ribosomal RNA is filed under the name uncultured bacterium. RNAcentral describes it as "partial 16S ribosomal RNA". It matches the Rfam family "Bacterial small subunit ribosomal RNA", at positions 524 to 776 of the family's 1533-position model. The record is from RNAcentral.